AGCAGCCGCGGUAAUUCCAGCUCCAAUAGCGUAUAUUAAAGUUGUUGCAGUUAAAAAGCUCGUAGUUGAAUUUCAGGCCUGGCUGGACGGUCCGCCCUUCGGGUGAGUACUGUCUGUGGUCGGGUCCUACCUUCUGGCGAAGCGUCAUGGCCUUAACCGGCCGUGGCGGGGAACCAGGACUUUUACUGUGAAAAAAUUAGAGUGUUCAAAGCAGGUAAUCGCUUGGAUACAUUAGCAUGGAAUAAUGGAAUAGGACAAUGGUUCUAUUUGUUGGUUUCUAGGACCGUUGUAAUGAUUAAUAGGGAUAGUUGGGGGCAUUAGUAUUCAAUUGUCAGAGGUGAAAUUCUUGGAUUUAUUGAAGACUAACUACUGCGAAAGCAUUUGCCAAGGAUGUUUUCAUUAAUCAAGAACGAAAGUUAGGGGAUCGAAGACGAUUAAGAUACCGUCGUAGUCUUAACCAUAAACUAUGCCGACUAGGGAUCGGACGAAGUUAAUUUUAUAAUGACACGUUCGGCACCUU
RNAcentral lists this ribosomal RNA (520 nucleotides) under uncultured Paraglomus. RNAcentral describes it as "SSU rRNA". It matches the Rfam family "Eukaryotic small subunit ribosomal RNA", at positions 569 to 1089 of the family's 1831-position model. Lineage: Eukaryota; Fungi; Glomeromycota; Glomeromycetes; Paraglomerales; Paraglomeraceae. The record is from RNAcentral.